RNAcentral lists this ribosomal RNA (253 nucleotides) under uncultured bacterium. RNAcentral describes it as "partial 16S ribosomal RNA". It matches the Rfam family "Bacterial small subunit ribosomal RNA", at positions 524 to 776 of the family's 1533-position model. The record is from RNAcentral.
UACGGAGGGGGCUAGCGUCGUUCGGAAUUACUGGGCGUAAAGCGUAUGUAGGCGGCUCUGUAAGUUAGAGGUGAAAGCCCGGAGCUUAACUCCGGAACUGCCUUUAAGACUGCAUCGCUAGAAUUGUGGAGAGGUGAGUGGAAUUCCGAGUGUAGAGGUGAAAUUCGUAGAUAUUCGGAAGAACACCAGUGGCGAAGGCGACUCACUGGACACAUAUUGACGCUGAGGUACGAAAGCGUGGGGAGCAAACAGG